GAUGAACGCUGGCGGCGUGCCUAAUACAUGCAAGUCGAGCGAACGGACGAGAAGCUUGCUUUUCUGAUGUUAGCGGCGGACGGGUGAGUAACACGUGGAUAACCUACCUAUAAGACUGGGAUAACUUCGGGAAACCGGAGCUAAUACCGGAUAAUAUUUUGAACCGCAUGGUUCAAAAGUGAAAGACGGUCUUGCUGUCACUUAUAGAUGGAUCCGCGCUGCAUUAGCUAGUUGGUAAGGUAACGGCUUACCAAGGCAACGAUGCAUAGCCGACCUGAGAGGGUGAUCGGCCACACUGGAACUGAGACACGGUCAAGACUCCUACGGGAGGCAGCCGUAGGGAAUCUUCCGCAAUGGGCGAAAGCCUGACGGAGCAACGCCGCGUGAGUGAUGAAGGUCUUCGGAUCGUAAAACUCUGUUAUUAGGGAAGAACAUAUGUGUAAGUAACUGUGCACAUCUUGACGGUACCUAAUCAGAAAGCCACGGCUAACUACGUG
RNAcentral lists this ribosomal RNA (497 nucleotides) under uncultured bacterium. RNAcentral describes it as "partial 16S ribosomal RNA". It matches the Rfam family "Bacterial small subunit ribosomal RNA", at positions 28 to 507 of the family's 1533-position model. The record is from RNAcentral.